UAUGUAUUUAAUGAUUUGUAGAUUACAUGUAAUAGAUUACACAUUUGCAAAAGGUGUCAUGUUUGGACUGUUCUUACUUGCAUUUACAAAUUUUGACCAGCAGGUGUCUCCGGCAUGUGUUGAGUGGAGCGCUUCAAAGAAUUUUUCCCACUCACAAGUGUUUGUGUCUUAAAACAGACAUUCUCUAACACCUUGAGUUAGAAGAGGUCAUGGCCAGUCGUUUUGAGACGUGGCACACCAUCGACAGGACACCAGACGGUGGCGUAAGCGGAUUCACGUUCAGUCUGACGCACCUUCAGACGCUUGAAAACAUUACAACACGUGCGGACUGUUUAAAGUAGCCUACAGAUUCUGCAGAUGACAGCUCAACGAGAGACUGAACAUCACUCAACAGCCCACCUCUUUCCUCCUGGAACAGUCCUAACCUCUCAACCUGACCUUCAUCUGUUGCAUCGCACCUGUUUUACCGCCCCAGAAAAAUGGAGAAUGCCACAGGUAUGCUGAAUGUACCAUGACAGGACCUCUGGAGAGGAACUGCACUUGUAGGCUUGGCUUUAUUGGAGAUGGAGAGACUUGCAAAGGCACCCUGCAGAAGAUCCAAAACAGAAAUUUAGGAGAAUUUUACAUGGGACUGGUGAGGAAUAAUAUUCCUGAAGUCGUGGCCCUUUCACAGUCUUUGUACCCAAUUCAGAUGCUUACAACAACCUGAGGGGUUCCCAAACACAUUCCUGGAGCCUCCCCAACACUGCGGCUGCGUCCGAAACCGCCUACUUCUCUACUAUAUAGUAGGAGAAAAGCAGUAAGCAAGCGAAUAAGUAUGUCCGAAUCCUUAGUAUUCAAAAAUGAGUAGGAGAGAAUUACCUGGGUGAUGUACUAAUUCUCGAGAGAUUAGGACGUGCGUCUACUUAAAAUGUGUCCGAAUAUGCCUACUUACCUACUAUAUAGUAGGAGAAAACAGUACGUGAAAGGAGUAGUAUGCCCGAAACCUCAGUAUUCAUAAAAGAGUAGGCGAGAAGUUCCCGGAUGGCCUACUGCAUCCUGCCCAGAUUUUCUGAAGUGUUUAUCGAUGGAUUCUUUUCUAUCCCAGCCUUCCCAGGAGGCCAUGGGAGAGGAUAUGUCAUAAUCAAACACGGAGGAGAAAAGCAACGCGGGUGUUUUCAAAUGGACAGAUGAGCACACGUGUGUUUAUCUGGUGCAGCGAGUCUGAUGAAGGAAUUCUGCCAUCAAAGGCUUUGAGACCUGCAAGGCAAGGUGACAGUGGCAUUUGUGGGGGAAAAAAGGGAAAAAGAAACAAGCAGGGAUUGAACAGCGUGAAGGCGA
This is a long non-coding RNA of Ctenopharyngodon idella (grass carp), 1320 nucleotides long. RefSeq lists it as uncharacterized. The record is from RefSeq and is a predicted model, not a curated record. Lineage: Eukaryota; Metazoa; Chordata; Actinopteri; Cypriniformes; Xenocyprididae. The transcript has 9 exons.